AGUCGACUGUGCAAUCGCUUUAUUUUUAGGAAUGAAGAGGAAAGUCUGGGCUCCAUAGAGUAGAGUGCCAGGUAACACCUGGGAAGUGUGAACUUACGGAAAGUGCAACAGAAAAUAAACCGCAAUUUUAUUGUAAGGGUGAAAUGGUGAGGUAAGAGCUCACCGCAGUUAAUAGCAAUAUUGCUGGCUAGGUAAACCCCACUCGGAGCAAGGCCAAAUAGAAAAGCUAUAGUGCUACUCGUGCUGCUUUUGGGUAGGCUGCUAGAUGUGUUUGGUGACAAGCAUACAAGAUUAAUGAUUGUAUUCAACAGAACCCAGCUUAUAGGUCGACUCAA
RNAcentral lists this RNase P RNA (335 nucleotides) under marine eukaryotic metagenome. RNAcentral describes it as "Bacterial RNase P class A". It matches the Rfam family "Bacterial RNase P class A". Rfam says of the family: Ribonuclease P (RNase P) is a ubiquitous endoribonuclease, found in archaea, bacteria and eukarya as well as chloroplasts and mitochondria. The record is from RNAcentral.